GCUCCAGUAGCUUAAACAAAAGCAUUGGUCUUGUAAACCAAAGAAUGAGGAAUAAAAUCUUCCUGAGGCU
RNAcentral lists this transfer RNA (70 nucleotides) under Dryophytes andersonii (pine barrens treefrog). Its description in RNAcentral is "tRNA-Thr". It matches the Rfam family "tRNA". Rfam says of the family: Transfer RNA (tRNA) molecules are approximately 80 nucleotides in length. Their secondary structure includes four short double-helical elements and three loops (D, anti-codon, and T loops). Lineage: Eukaryota; Metazoa; Chordata; Amphibia; Anura; Hylidae. The record is from RNAcentral.